GGUGCCUUAGCUCAGGUGGUAGAGCAAUGGACUGAAAAUCCAUGUGUCCUUGGUUCAACUCCAAGAGGUACCACAA
Molecule: transfer RNA, 76 nt
Filed under: Prevotella sp. CAG:924
Lineage: Bacteria; Pseudomonadati; Bacteroidota; Bacteroidia; Bacteroidales; Prevotellaceae
Description: transfer RNA-Phe(GAA)
Rfam family: tRNA
About the family: Transfer RNA (tRNA) molecules are approximately 80 nucleotides in length.
Source: RNAcentral